CGGCCGCGUCGACCUGAAACAUCUCAGUACCCGGAGGAAAGGACAUCAACCGAGACUCCCGUAGUAGUGGCGAGCGAACCGGGACCAGGCCAGUGCUUCCGUGACAUAAAGGCGAACGACCUGGAAAGGUCGGCCAUAGCGGGUGACAGCCCCGUAGCCGUCAAACAGCAGAAGACUCGAGUAGGGCGGGACACGUGAAAUCCUGUCUGAACAUGGGGGGACCACCCUCCAAGCCUAAGCACUCCUCUACGACCGAUAGUGAACAAGUACCGUGAGGGAAAGGUGAAAAGCACCCCGACAAGGGGAGUGAAACAGAUCCUGAAAUCGGAAGCCUACAAGCAGUCGGAGCCGCCAAGCGCGGUGACGGCGUACCUUUUGUAUAAUGGGUCAGCGACUUCAU
This 400-nucleotide ribosomal RNA is filed under the name uncultured bacterium. RNAcentral's name for it is "bacterial LSU rRNA". It matches the Rfam family "Bacterial large subunit ribosomal RNA", at positions 180 to 632 of the family's 2925-position model. The record is from RNAcentral.